Molecule: ribosomal RNA, 492 nt
Filed under: uncultured bacterium
Lineage: Bacteria
Description: partial 16S ribosomal RNA
Rfam family: Bacterial small subunit ribosomal RNA
Source: RNAcentral
AGUGAACGCUGGCGGUAGGCCUAACACAUGCAAGUCGAACGGCAGCACAGUAAGAGCUUGCUCUUACGGGUGGCGAGUGGCGGACGGGUGAGGAAUACAUCGGAUUCUACUUUUUCGUGGGGGAUAACGUAGGGAAACUUACGCUAAUACCGCAUACGACCUACGGGUGAAAGCAGGGGAUCUUCGGACCUUGCGCGAUUGAAUGAGCCGAUGUCGGAUUAGCUAGUUGGCGGGGUAAAGGCCCACCAAGGCGACGAUCCGUAGCUGGUCUGAGAGGAUGAUCAGCCACACUGGAACUGAGACACGGUCCAGACUCCUACGGGAGGCAGCAGUGGGGAAUAUUGGACAAUGGGCGCAAGCCUGAUCCAGCCAUACCGCGUGGGUGAAGAAGGCCUUCGGGUUGUAAAGCCCUUUUGUUGAGAAAGAAAAGCAGCAGGUUAAUACCCCGCUGUUCUGACGGUACCCAAAGAAUAAGCACCGGCUAACUUCGUG